Molecule: ribosomal RNA, 433 nt
Filed under: uncultured bacterium
Lineage: Bacteria
Description: partial 16S ribosomal RNA
Rfam family: Bacterial small subunit ribosomal RNA
Source: RNAcentral
AACGAACGCUGGCGGCAGGCCUAACACAUGCAAGUCGAGCGGACCCUUCGGGGUUAGCGGCGGACGGGUGAGUAACGCGUGGGAAUAUGCCCUUCUCUACGGAAUAGUCCUGGGAAACUGGGGGUAAUACCGUAUACGCCCUUUGGGGGAAAGAUUUAUCGGGGAAGGAUUAGCCCGCGUUGGAUUAGGUAGUUGGUGGGGUAAUGGCCUACCAAGCCGACGAUCCAUAGCUGGUUUGAGAGGAUGAUCAGCCACACUGGGACUGAGACACGGCCCAGACUCCUACGGGAGGCAGCAGUGGGGAAUCUUAGACAAUGGGGGCAACCCUGAUCUAGCCAUGCCGCGUGAGUGAUGAAGGCCUUAGGGUUGUAAAGCUCUUUCAGCUGGGAAGAUAAUGACGGUACCAGCAGAAGAAGCGCCGGCUAACUCCGUG